Sus scrofa (pig) is the source of this 4215-nucleotide non-coding RNA. NCBI's taxonomy places the organism in Eukaryota, Metazoa, Chordata, Mammalia, Artiodactyla, Suidae. The record is from RefSeq and is a predicted model, not a curated record.
GGAGCCUGGGGAAGGGAAGUGCGCCCCCGGGACCGGUCCCGAGGGCCUAACCCGUGUCUACAGUGUGAGGUUCUGUCCUUUCACCAAGAGGACGCUCCUGGUCCUCAACGCCAAGGGAAUUCGGUGAGGGGGCCGCUCCCCUAUCAGGCCAAGAACCAGCUGCUACAGGCGGCGCGAGUGGGAAUCCUGAAAAGGGUCCCCGCUGCUUCCUUUACUGCAAAAUACACAAUGCUCAGCCUUUUGGGGAGACAUAGUAACUUAUGGACCCUAUCCUCGCGUGGUGGGGAAUGCCACAGGCUCCACCAGCCUAUGACGCCCCAUUUAGAUUAACUAUUUCAUGGAUCCCAAAAGCUGGGGCUCCAAUAAUAACGUUAGUGAUGUGCAGAGAUCACUGGAACGGUAAUCACAGGCAGCAGCCCUUUUAGCUCUGGUAGAUCCUGGUUACUGGUGUAUUGCACUUUCCCUUUCCCCCACUUCAUUCAUGUCCUGCUUAUCGGAUAUUAUUUGCUGAUAUUCUGGGGAUAGAGUCCCUUCUCCAAUAGUGGGUAAUUUAUCUCAGUCCAGAGUCCAGACCUCCACACACCACCGGACAUAGUGCUGACCUAACUGUACAGUGCAUGUUCCUAUGGGAUUUGGGUUGUUGGUUGAGUUAAAUAAAGUGUCUAUACCUAAAAAUUCAGACUUUGGGGAAGCCUUAUUGAAAUUAGGAUGGUUAUUGACAUAAGAGUUAUCUUCAGGAAAUAUGAAAGUCACUGGGAUUUUCUCAGAGCUGAAUAUCCACCGGAACCACCUCCCUCCCAAUGAUCUUUAGAUGUCUGUGAUGUGAAAGUUUAAAACAUAGCCCCUGUUCUUAAGAAGUUUUCCGUCUAUGGCUUAGAGUUUACAAACUAAUUUUAGUCUUCUGGGGGAGAAUUAGGCAACUCUUUCCCCUGAGAGAAAAGUAAGUUACAUUCUUAAAAGAAAUUAUUUUGGAUUAGCUAUCUCUUUAGUAAGAUUUGCUUCUUAUUUUGGAUGAAACUGAUUUUGAACACAAUAGCAAAACACUCAACAUUUAGUAACAUUUAUCUAAAACAUUAUUUUAGCCAAGUAUUUUAAUAUAUCCUUAGUCAUAAUUAUUUUUAUUGAAAUUAAGAGAAAUCCAAUUUAACUGUAUUGGAAAAAUACAUAUCUUGUGUUCAUAUAACUGAAAAGUCCUGGAGCAAGCCACAACUGUAUUCUGGGGCACAAAGUCUUGGGUUAGUGCCUUUCUGGACGUCUAGAUUGAAAACUCUACGUUAUUUACUAGGAAAAUUUUCCAAAGGAAAGCUAAUAUUAAUGUACAAGUGUGUGUAUGGGGGUAAGGAGUGGUAACAGCUGCAAGGUAGUGUAAACAGAGGUCUACUAUGUUCAUGGAUUAGUUUUGCAUCCCAAUAGAUUUUCGUGCCAGUACUAGAAUUUACCACAUGAUUAACAAAGCAUGGUUUUCUCUAAAGACACAUCUUCCAACUUGUUCGGCAGGUAUGUUGACUUGUUGGCUCACAAUGCCAGGUUACUAAGAUGCAUGUGUGUGCUAACCUUCUUUAUUACAAAAGCCCAGUAUUUACCUUUCUGUUUCACAGUAUAAAUUUUCAGAAAUGUUGAUAAUUCCUUGGCAAGGAGACUUAUUUUUCUUGCAGUGGCUUGUAUCUGACUGUUUAGUGGUCUGUUAGCACAUGAACAUUUGAAUACACACAUACAGAUGCCAGUGUUCAAUGGGGCUAUUCCUCUGUAUCCAUGGUGGGAGGUCUGCAUAUUUAAAUCUUCAAGGUAAGUGCUAUUCUAGCUACUAAGAUGGAUGGGGAAAUAGGAAACAAAAGCUGCUGGUGUGUAUCAUUUUUGAGUAAAUAAUGUUCUAUUGAACACUUAUCAGCUUUGACAAUGAUACGAACCUGGCUUUAAUGAUUAUAUGAAACUUUCCUUUCUCUUAUUUCCCCUAAAAUCUCUGAGGCAAGAUAAGAAUUAGAUAUAAAAACCAUCUUAAUACAGGCUGGACUUCACUUGUUUUCUUCUUUAUGGGUUUAACUUAAGUGACUUACCCAUGUAUCAUUUUUUUUUUUAAAUAUCAACUAAUGGAGAUUUAAUCGGAAAGUUUAUUUCAUGGAAGCAUUUUUUUGAUUCUCUUAAUAUUCUGGUAAGAAGUGAGGAACUUUCAUUCAAAUUAGCAAAAGGAAUUGAAUAUUAUCAUGUUGAUUCUCAUAUAGUGGGGUAUGGACACAAUUCAAUUAGUUGCCUUAUAAAAUAUACAGUUAAAAUACCUCUUAGCCCCACAUGGAGUAUCUUAUUGACAAUCUUAAAGCAUUUCCACCUAUUUAUUUGACAAAUAUGUACUGAGUAUCUAUCUGAAACUGCUUAUAUUUCUUCGUAGCAUUUAAACCUAUUUAAAAUUUUGCUCAUUUACAUGUUUGCUUAUGAAUAUGACCUAGACUCUCAAAAUCGAUGCUUUCAUGGAACUUACAUUGUAGGGAGGUGACAUAAUAAGCAUGCAAUUAAAGAAGCAAAGUAAUUUCAGAUACAUAUUAUCAGGUCAAUGAAGAAAGUAUUACAAAGAGUGAAAAAGAGGUCAGUACGGCCAGAUGGUAAUGAUGAGAGGGACUGAUAGGAAACAGAUUGACAGAUAAGCAAAGGACAGGUCAAAUGGCAUGGAAAGAGGUUUAGAGUUCAUCCUCAUUGCAAUGAGGAGCAGCUGAGGGCUUGUAAGCAAGCAGGAGGGUCACUGAUCCAGUUUUGAUCCAGUGCAUGGAGGAUGGACUGUAAGGAGGCCACUGUGGAAGCAGAGGGACCAGGGGGACUACUGUAGAGGUCCAGGUGCCAGAUAAUGUCCUAGACAAGGUGGCAGUGUUAAAGCUGAGAAUCAGAUAAAGCCAGAAUGUGAUCUGGAGGUCUAGCUGACAGGUCUUGAUGACCCAUCUGAUUUCAGGAAGACGGGACAGAGGGAAGGAAUCAAGGCUGAGCUGACUCCUGAAUUUGGGGUCUGAUCAGAUAGAUAAGUGGGUGGUGGAACCAGUGAAGCUUCCUUCAGGAGUACAAAAGGAAUGUUACUCUCUUGACUGUCUUCUAUGUGUCUUUCAGGCAUCAAGUCAUCAACAUCAACCUGAAAAAUAAGCCUGAGUGGUUCUUCCAGAAGAAUCCCUCAGGUCUGGUGCCAGUUCUGGAAAACAGUCAGGGUCAACUGAUCUAUGAAUCUGCCAUCACUUGUGAGUACCUGGAUGAAGCAUAUCCAGGGAAGAAGCUGUUGCCAGAUGACCCCUAUGAGAAAGCUUGCCAAAAGAUGGUCUUUGAGUUGUCUUCUAAGGUGUGUGUGUAAGACAUUUCAGCUCCCAUUUGAAACACCUUUGGUUGUGAAGCUAAAUCAGUGUUGUCACUCAUGGUUCAAUGAUUUGGGAGUAGCAAACCAAUAGGGUGAUGCUCUUGUCAGCUCUGCCAUGUGCUGCAAGCCCUUUCAUGGUCUGGAUCCUGUUUACCUCUCCAAAGGUAUGCCUCUUCCCUCUUCUGACCCGGUGUAUUCCUGCCACGCUGAAUGUUUUUCUUUUUUCCAAACUUGCCACCUUCUUCUCAACUCUUGCUGGAAUGUUCCUCCCCUUCUCACCUUAAGUUUGUUUUUGAAGGCUGUGAAUCUGACCACGCUUUCAAAUGAGAGGACUGGUAUAGUUAGCCUCACACUGAUAAACUAAGAACUUACUCUCUACCUAGGUGCCUCCUUUGCUACUAAGCUUUCUUAGAAAGCAAAAUAAAGACUGCUCUGGCCUAAAAGAAGAAUUGGGUAAAGGAUUCAGCAAGCUAGAGGAGGUUCUGACCAAAAAGAAGACAACAUACUUUGGUGGAAGUUCUCUCUCUAUGAUUGAUUACCUCAUCUGGCCCUGGUUUGAAAGGCUGGAAGCCCUGGAGUUAAAUGAGUAAGACAUUUGAAUACCUUGUGCAUAAAUUAGGACAAUGACAACUGGAAUAGUAUAUAUUGACCUCUUUUAUAAACAGUAACUAAAAUGCCUCAUUCACCUGGCUUGAAUGGGAACAAGCAGACAGGAGGGGUCUUGGACUUUCCAGGGCAUGCCAUCCACCUGGCCUCACCAUUCUUCCCCCAUCCCUGGGGGUGGGGAAUUCUGUGCCAUGUGGUAACAUGUUUUAAAAUCAAUUUAGUCCUUCCCUCCUGGUUAAAAAUCCUUAAGGAUGUACAUUUUUAUAAAGAUGUUAUGCAGGACU